This is a long non-coding RNA of Suricata suricatta (meerkat), 1462 nucleotides long. RefSeq lists it as uncharacterized. The transcript is spliced from 3 exons. NCBI's taxonomy places the organism in Eukaryota, Metazoa, Chordata, Mammalia, Carnivora, Herpestidae. The record is from RefSeq and is a predicted model, not a curated record.
ACAGGGAGGAGACAGCAGGAUGGCACCUGGAAAGGCCUGUUUGCCGCAGAUGCAGUGAAUAUCACCCUCCUUCCUCACUGGCACCAGAGCACUGGAAGGUACAAGAGUUUAUCACAAACCCCAACACCUGUGUCUCGCCGCCAGCUGCCAGGGGACAUCGCCAGCAGCUCCCGCCACAUGGCAGCAAUGCUCUCCUUCCAGGGGCACUAGAGUCUCCGUGUGAGCACUCAGCCGCCCCACACAUCAAAUCCAGGAACAGCUGGCUCGCACCUGCCCGGGGGAAAUGAGAGUCACCCACACCCUACCUGUUAGUUGGAAAGCUGAGGACUGAAUUAUGAGUAUGGAAGAUGUCUCCAGAGUUGUGGAAGUGGACGGUGAAGGUCACAGUCAUUCCCAAAGGCAGGGCUGCCAGAGCCUCCUUGUUCUGGGUAUGCAGGGCUGGGCUCAUGGAGAGCCUCGAGUAAGACACAAGGAGACACCUGAAGACAGCGAGCGGUGUGGGGGUGACUGCCCUGGGGACCAGCCUCCCAAGGAGGAGUCACCUGUCCCCAGGGGUGCCUGCCUCAGCAGGGACCAGGGGCUGGAACGACUCAGGGGUCAUGGUCUUCUGAGUGUCCCCAGGAGCGACGAGAACCCCACCUUCCCACAGCGGGCUAGACUUAGUAAAAACAAGCCGCCCCUAUCUGCAAGAAUCAAAACCCAUGACUUUGAAAAAUUAGAUCAUUAUUCACAUUUGCCAAAACAUCCCUGGGUUUUCCAUCUUCAGAUUUCCUUUGAAAUCCUGGCUCUCAGGGUGUUUAAAGUGGAAGGUGUGCCCAUUUGGACUUCGGAGCAAGUGUCAGCCAGGAGCCACCGUGUGCCACCACAUGCUCCAGGGAAAGGGUUAUGGAGCCUAGAAACCAGUGCUCCAGAGAGUAGCCCUGGCCCUCCAAGCCUGGAAAGCAUCUAUCCUGGACGGAAAGCUCCUGUGCUCAAGAGACCCAAUCUCUUGGAUAAAGGGUGAAGGUUCCCUGCCAGGCAGUAAUUACGGAAACAAGAAGACAUUAAUUAAGGACACAGAUCUGUGACCCUGACAAACUCUCGAACAUAAAGUCACGGAUCCUGUCUGUCACCCAUGAUGCAGAAAGUGGCUGCAAUGAGACAGUGGAGGGAAAUUUGGGGACCUGACCCAAGGACGCCGAGCACAGAGUCCUCAUCACCACGGAGCAUGGGAGGGGAGAGGGACCAGAGGACACCACCCGGCUAACCAAGCUUAAGGUUACCCAGAAUCAAGGGUUCCGAGGAGAGCGCUGCUCGUGGGAGAAGGGACGGAGGGCCGAGCUCCUCUCACCAGCGGCAGGGCGCCUGUGAGGUCCACGACCGUGUCUGGGACAACCUCUCCCCUUACUGACGUGAGGCGGCCAGGCGCGGCGGAGAGCCGAGGGGGCUCUGAGUCCCAAUGCCCUGCAAGCAGCCUCCUCCC